GAUGAAGAACGUAGCGAAAUGCGCUACUUGGUGUGAAUUGCAGAAUCCCGUGAACCAUCGAGUCUUUGAACGCAAGUUGCGCCCGAAGCCAUUAGGCCGAGGGCACGCCUGCCUGGGCGUCACACGUCGUUGCCCCCCCAUCUACUCCUUCGGGAUUGCGGGGGGCGGAUGAUGGCCUCCCGUGCGCCUCGUCGCGCGGUUGGCAUAAAUGCCAAGUCCUCGGCGACGCACGCCACGACAAUCGGUGGUUGCGAAACCUCGGUUGCCCGUCGUGUGCGGUCGUCGCGCAUCGAGGGCUCGAAAAAAUUGCCGGGCUCCGGCUCGGCUUUCAACGCGACCCCAGGUCAGGCGGGGUUACCCGCUGAAUUUAAGCAUAUCAAUAAGCGGAGGA
RNAcentral lists this unclassified non-coding RNA (391 nucleotides) under soil metagenome. Its description in RNAcentral is "partial contains 5.8S ribosomal RNA, internal transcribed spacer 2, and large subunit ribosomal RNA". The stretch from base 1 to 122 matches the Rfam family "5.8S ribosomal RNA", at positions 35 to 154 of the family's 154-position model. The record is from RNAcentral.